CUUUGUUCCUGCUCGCAAUAACAUGCAGUCUGGAGUAAACAACACGAAGAAAUGGAAGAUGGAGUUUGAUACCAGAGAGAGAUGGGAAAAUCCUUUGAUGGGUUGGGCAUCAACGGCCGAUCCCCUCUCCAACAUGGUUCUCACCUUCAGUGCCAAAGAAGAUGCGGUUGCCUUUGCAGAAAAGCAUGAUACUUAGCUGGACAACACCAAGCCAGCGUUUGAUCCCGGAACCCCCAUGGCAGGAAGAACUAACAUCUCCACAGUGUACUUUGACCUGUGCAUGAAUGCUGCAGUGUAAAUGUGAAUGCACAGUAAAUAAAUAUAAAGAAAACAUUUUUUAAAGUGUUAAAUAUAGAAUUUGAGCUGGAAAAAAACUUUGUUUCUAACACAGUAGUUUUUAGACUUGUUUGUUUUUCUCUACAUCAAAAUUUCUCCCUUCCCUGAUCACAAAAUAUAAAAUGGAAUGUCCAGUGUUAACAUCAAAGACCAAAUUUGAAAAAGAAACGGAGGAUAAGGUCACUGGCUCACAUUGUGUUUCUGAGUCUGCAAAAGUUCCUAAUGCUUAGUCAGCUAAAACCUAAUUGCAUAUAUCAUGAGGUGGUCUGUUCCAGUGUUACCAUUUCACUGUAAAGUUCUUCUUUUGAUCUAAAAGUCUAAUGCCUAUUAUUCUACCUAAUAGCCUAUUAAUUACUAGAAGCUAGUUAUUAUCAUGUUCAUCUUAAACUUCCCUUUAAGCUUAA
This 740-nucleotide long non-coding RNA is filed under the name Rattus norvegicus (Norway rat). Its description in RNAcentral is "long non-coding RNA NONRATT016110". The record is from RNAcentral. Lineage: Eukaryota; Metazoa; Chordata; Mammalia; Rodentia; Muridae.